RNAcentral lists this ribosomal RNA (450 nucleotides) under uncultured bacterium. RNAcentral's name for it is "partial 16S ribosomal RNA". It matches the Rfam family "Bacterial small subunit ribosomal RNA", at positions 354 to 796 of the family's 1533-position model. The record is from RNAcentral.
GUGGGGAAUCUUCCGCAAUGGACGAAAGUCUGACGGAGCAACGCCGCGUGAGUGAUGAAGGUCUUCGGAUUGUAAAGCUCUGUUAAUCGGGACGAAAGAGCCUAGUGUGAAUAAUGCUAGGAAGUGACGGUACCGGAAUAGAAAGCCACGGCUAACUACGUGCCAGCAGCCGCGGUAAUACGUAGGUGGCAAGCGUUGUCCGGAAUUAUUGGGCGUAAAGCGAGAGCAGGCGGAUCUGCCAGUCUGUCUUAAAAGUUCGGGGCUUAACCCCGUGAUGGGAUGGAAACUACAGAUCUAGAGUAUCGGAGAGUAAAGUGGAAUUCCUAGUGUAGCGGUGAAAUGCGUAGAUAUUAGGAAGAACACCAGUGGCGAAGGCGACUUUCUGGACGAAAACUGACGCUGAGGCGCGAAAGCCAGGGGAGCGAACGGGAUUAGAAACCCCGGUAGUCC